UGGGGAAUAUUGGACAAUGGUCGAAAGCCUGAUCCAGCCAUGCCGCGUGUGUGAAGAAGGUCUUCGGAUUGUAAAGCACUUUACGUUGGGAGGAAGGGCAGUAAGCGAAUACCUUGCUGUUUUGACGUUACCGACAGAAUAAGCACCGGCUAACUCUGUGCCAGCAGCCGCGGUAAUACAGAGGGUGCAAGCGUUAAUCGGAAUUACUGGGCGCAAACCGCGCGUAGGUGGUUCGUUAAGUUGAAUGUGAAAGCCCCGGGCUAAACCUGGGAGCUGCAUCCAAAACUGGCUAGCUAGAGUAGGGCAGAGGGUGGUGGAAUUUCCUGUGUAGCGGUGAAAUGCGUAGAUAUAGGAAGGAACACCAGUGGCGAAGGCGACCACCUGGGCUCAUACUGACACUGAGGUGCGAAAGCGUAGGGAGCAAACAGG
RNAcentral lists this ribosomal RNA (429 nucleotides) under Pseudomonadota bacterium. RNAcentral's name for it is "Proteobacteria bacterium partial 16S ribosomal RNA". It matches the Rfam family "Bacterial small subunit ribosomal RNA", at positions 355 to 776 of the family's 1533-position model. Lineage: Bacteria; Pseudomonadati; Pseudomonadota. The record is from RNAcentral.